UACGUAGGGUGCAGGCGUUAAUCGGAAUUACUGGGGGUAAAGCGUGCGCAGGCGGUUUGCUAAGACAGGUGUGAAAUCCCCGGGCUUAACCUGGGAACUGCGCUUGUUACUGGCAAGCUGGAGUGUGGCAGAGGGGGGUGGAAUUCCACGUGUAGCAGUGAAAUGCGUAGAGAUGUGGAGGAACACCGAUGGCGAAGGCAGCCCCCUGGGCUAACACUGACGCUCAUGCACGAAAGCGUGGGGAGCAAACAGG
Molecule: ribosomal RNA, 253 nt
Filed under: uncultured bacterium
Lineage: Bacteria
Description: partial 16S ribosomal RNA
Rfam family: Bacterial small subunit ribosomal RNA
Source: RNAcentral